AGGCCGAAACUGUAGAUGGCGUUGAUGUGCGUCUAUGAUGAAGAUUACGCGUGGCAAGUUAAAUGGGUGUUUGUUACGUUACCCUGUUUUGUGUUUUAAAGGAAUUUUUGACAAAAAAUUUACGUUAUGUUGUUAUCUAUUCAGUAUUGCAAUCGUUGGGUAUGUCUUGAAAAGGAAAUCCUUGAAAUAGAUUGAUUUUUGUAUGUGUGGUGCUUCGCCUUGUUAGCUAUGCCAGCUACUGAACCAGCAGCCUGCAUUCCUGCUUUCAAUGAACCACAAGGGAUUCUGACACGUUAAGAAGUCCACAUUCCUUACAUGAAGAUCACUAUCCAGUUCAAGUACUGUUAAUGGACCUUGAGCCUUUUGUUUAAGCUUAGUGAUGUGUUCUCUCAUCAUUCAACCACAGAGUCUUCAUCUACUUUGUGUUGCUAAACAUCAGUCCUCACCAUUCCAUGUAUCCAGAUUUUUAAGGUUCUCUGAUUAGCCAACCAUCAUCGAUACACUUCAACUCUUCAUUGUGGUUUCUCUUCCUCUCUUCUUAGUCUGCUGAAUGCCAACAUGGAAUAAGGUUCAUCUUCAUUGCCUUUCCAUGAAAAUUGUCAUUGGUAAUCCUGCUGUUCUUCUCACCGUUACUUAGCCGGCUAACAUGGAUGGGCUUUAACACCAUCUCCAUUUUUUUUGACUGCAAAUAUUCAUCUUCCGUCAGUACAAAACUGCUGUUUCGACAAUUUCGUUAGUUUCGCCCCCAGUGGACCACACGCAGCUACAUUUUCUUGGUCUUCUUGUCAUUGUUGUCUACGCCUUCGGCUCAUCGCGAUCUUCAUCAACGUCUUCGCCUCAUCACUGUCUUCGUCGCCGUCUUCGCCCUCAUCUCCAUCUCGUCGACGUCUUGGCCGUCUUUGCCUUUGUUUCAUCGCCGUCUUGGCCGUCUUUAUCUACGCCAUCACCUCGUCGCCUUCGCCCUUUACUUAGAGAAUUCAUCGUUGAUCGUCGCCCUGGUAUUGGUUUUUUUUGUUGCAUUGUAAUGUUUAAGUUAACCCGUUGGCUGCCACCCCGUUUGCGUCCCAUUUUUUUUGUAGCUUUAGGGACCGGCCGCAAUGGCCUUCGCCGUAAGGCGCCUUAGGCAA
This is an RNA transcript of Daphnia magna, 1127 nucleotides long. RefSeq lists it as uncharacterized. The transcript has 5 exons. NCBI's taxonomy places the organism in Eukaryota, Metazoa, Arthropoda, Branchiopoda, Diplostraca, Daphniidae. The record is from RefSeq and is a predicted model, not a curated record.